Bombus huntii is the source of this 1166-nucleotide long non-coding RNA. RefSeq lists it as uncharacterized. The transcript is spliced from 2 exons. NCBI's taxonomy places the organism in Eukaryota, Metazoa, Arthropoda, Insecta, Hymenoptera, Apidae. The record is from RefSeq and is a predicted model, not a curated record.
UAUGAGUCGUUUUUCGACAUUUUAGACCACGAUUAUAUAAUCCGGUAUCGUGAUUUAUUGUAAAGUCCCUGAAGCCUUGUCUUUCUUUAUUUCUUUUUAGAAAUAAAGAGAAAUUUUCUAGUUACUACAGCUUGUUUUUUGUAGUUGAUCCAAUUUAUUACGAAGAGUGUGUGUCUAUUUUUUAAAGGAUGCUUUUCUCUUCCUGACCUCUCUGCUGCAAUUAGAGUCCCACUAUUUGAUAGAAUUCCUGGUCUUUGUGGAAUUUUUUUCUGGAGUUAUUUCCUGCAAUAGUUGUAGUCAUGAGAUAAUGGUAGCCAUAAGAUAUUCAUAUUUAUCUAUAAGUGACAACUCAUCAUAUUCUUUGCCCAUUAAUAGGUGAUAGUGUGACUCCAUUUCUAAUCUAUAUUUUGUUCAGUCGGUACUGAUGGAGGAAAUUCUGUGUGAUUUUAUGAUAUGUACAUGUUUUUGCAUAUUUGCAAGACAUGCUCUGGAGGAAUGAUUUGAGCCCAUACUGUCAUCUAAUUGGUUAGGGUAAAUAGAAAAUACUGGCUUGGGUAAAUAGAGCUAGAGUGUAUCACUACAAUCUGGCAGCCUCCUUGACAAAGAUUAGCAUAUUACAAGACCCAACAUGUGACUAUAGCACUCACAUCGAAGAAAUAAUUUGUAUCUUGUUGGCCUGCUUCUUACACAGGUAUGAAAGAUAAAAAUUUAUACAAAAUCACAGAAAGAACGGAUGGACUCUGCUCUACAGAAUCCACAUAUUUCUUAAAGGACCCAAGAUACAGAGCAUCAAAGAUAUAGAUAAAUUUGUAGAAGCUUCAUAUAUCACCAUGUAACGAGAAUAAUUAUGUUAAAAUUCAGAGACAACAAAGAGUACUAAGCUUUAAACUGAAAUCUUACCAUUGUACAGAUAUUUUCUAAUACAUAAGUCUGAAGCUAGAUGUACAUUAAAAAGACUAAAAAGAGAAUGCUAGAUUAAAGAUUAGGAUUAAGUACUAAAUUAAGAUUAAAUAUUACAGAUUGUGCAAUUAUUCGAAUUUUUAGUUCUAAGUUCACUAUUUUUACUUGAUAUUGUUAUUAUAUUAUUGAUAUAGUGUUAAUGUGGCUUAUAGACCCAUAAAAGUCUAAAGCUUGUAUUCAUUAAAAAAGAUAUUUUGAUAUUCUCA